GCGAUGCCCCCCAAGAAACAGGCUCAGGCCGGGGACAGCAAGAAGGCGGAGCAGAAGAAGGAGAAGAUCAUCGAGGAUAAAACUUUUGGACUAAAGAAUAAGAAAGGAGCAAAGCAACAGAAAUUUAUUAAGGCUGUCACUCAUCAAGUGAAAUUUGGUCAACAGAAUCCACGUCAGGUAGCACAAAGUGAAGCUGAAAAGAAAUUGAAGAAAGAUGACAAGAAGAAAGAACUACAAGAACUAAAUGAGUUGUUCAAACCAGUAGUUGCUGCACAAAAAAUAAGCAAAGGUGCGGAUCCCAAAUCUGUGGUGUGUGCAUUCUUCAAACAGGGACAGUGUACUAAAGGAGAUAAAUGUAAGUUCUCUCAUGACCUCACUUUGGAGAGAAAAUGUGAAAAAUGAAGUGUUUACAUUGAUGCAAGAGAUGAAGAACUUGAAAAAGAUACUAUGGAUAAUUGGGAUGAGAAAAAGCUGGAAGAAGUAGUAAACAAGAAGCACAGUGAGGCGGAAAAGAAAAAAACAAAAGCUCAAAUAGUGUGCAGACAUUUUCUUGAAGCUAUUGAAAAUAACAAGUAUGGCCGGUUUGGGGUGUGUCCUGGAGGUGGGACAAUUGCAUGUAUCGCCAUGCACUUCCUCCUGGAUUUGUGCUAAAGAAAGACAAAAAGAAGAAAAAGAAGAUGAAAUCUCAUUAGAAGAUCUAAUUGAAAGAGAGUGUUCUGCCCUAGGUCCAAAUGUUACCAAAAUCACUCUAGAAUCUUUUCUGGCAUGGAAGAAAAGGAAAAGACAAGAAAAGAUAAACUUGAACAGGAUAUGGAGAGGCGGAAAGCUGACUUCAAAGCUGGGAAAGCACUGGUAAUCAGUGGUCGUGAGAUAUUUGAAUUUCGUCCUGAGCUGGUCAAUGAUGAUGAUGAGGAAGCAGAUGAUACCCGUUACAUUCAGGGAACAGGUGGUGAUGAGGUUGAUGAUUCUAUGGGUGUAAAUGACAUAGAUAUAAGCCUGUACAUCCCAAGAGAUGUAGAAGAGACGGGUAUCACUGUGGCCAGUCUUGAAAGAUUCAGCAUGUAUGCAUCAGAUAAAGAUGAGAACAAAUUAAGUGAAGCUUCUGGAGGUCUGGCUGAAAAUGGUGAAUGGAGUGAUUUGGAUGAAGACAGCGGAGGGGGAGGACAGGAAAAUGAAUCCAUCAAUGCUGUUCCUGUUGAUGAAAACCUGUUCACUGGCGAAGAUCUGGAUGAACUAGAAGAAGAAUUGAACACUCUUGAUCUAGAGGAAUGACAACAAGGAGGAAAAUUAGGUCAGCUCAAUAUGAUCAACAUGAACUGAGAUUGACUACAUUAAUUGUUUGGCCACCUAGAAUCAACAGGACAUUUAUUUCCCCAUGAUGAUUCUGGAGGGAUUCUGUCCUCCACAAAAGGAAUACUAUCCCUGUGUCUUCUCUUCUGACUUUGACUACAUCUCAUAGUAAGUUCAGAGUAGUUGGUGAUAAAUUAAAAAUGGUCAUUACAGAAGAUGAUUGUUGUUAUAACUGUCCACUCAUGUAGGAAGUGUAACUGCUUUUCCAGCUUUUGGUUUUCAUUGGGCAUGUGUAAUUUCCAGGAACAAAUCACACUUAAAAUACUUGUGUUUGAUG
RNA transcript from Mastomys coucha (southern multimammate mouse), 1627 nucleotides. It is a transcript of the gene named zinc finger CCCH domain-containing protein 15 pseudogene, with no coding region annotated. NCBI's taxonomy places the organism in Eukaryota, Metazoa, Chordata, Mammalia, Rodentia, Muridae. The record is from RefSeq and is a predicted model, not a curated record. The transcript has a single exon.